This 333-nucleotide unclassified non-coding RNA is filed under the name soil metagenome. RNAcentral's name for it is "partial contains 5.8S ribosomal RNA, internal transcribed spacer 2, and large subunit ribosomal RNA". The stretch from base 2 to 119 matches the Rfam family "5.8S ribosomal RNA", at positions 37 to 154 of the family's 154-position model. The record is from RNAcentral.
GUGAAGAACGUAGCGAAAUGCGAUAAGUAAUGUGAAUUGCAGAAUUCAGUGAAUCAUCGAAUCUUUGAACGCACAUUGCGCCCGCCAGUAUUCUGGCGGGCAUGCCUGUUCGAGCGUCAUUUCAACCAUCAAGCCCUGCUUGCGUUGGGGUCCUGCGGCUGCCCGCAGGCCCUGAAAACCAGUGGCGGGCUCGCUAGUCACACCGAGCGCAGUAAUACAUCUCGCUUUGGGCGUGCGGCGGGUUCUUGCCGUUAAACACCCCCUUUUUACCAAGGUUGACCUCGGAUCAGGUAGGAAUACCCGCUGAACUUAAGCAUAUCAAUAAGCGGAGGA